This 967-nucleotide non-coding RNA is filed under the name Perdicula asiatica (jungle bush-quail). RNAcentral's name for it is "partial small subunit ribosomal RNA". It matches the Rfam family "Bacterial small subunit ribosomal RNA". The record is from RNAcentral. Lineage: Eukaryota; Metazoa; Chordata; Aves; Galliformes; Phasianidae.
AAAGACUCAGUCCUAACCUUACUAUUGGUUCCUGCUAGACAUAUACAUGCAAGUAUCCGCACCCCAGUGAAAAUGCCCAAACCCUUAUCUUCUUUAAGCGAAAUGGAGCAGGUAUCAGGCACACCAAAGUUUAGCCCAAGACGCCUUGCUAAGCCACACCCCCACGGGUAUUCAGCAGUAAUUAACCUUAAGCAAUAAGUGCAAACUUGACUUAGCCAUAGCAGCACUAGGGUUGGUAAAUCUUGUGCCAGCCACCGCGGUCAUACAAGAAACCCAAAUCAAUAGCCACCCGGCGUAAAGAGUGGCCACAUGUUAUCUGCCCCAACUAAGAUCAAAGCGAAUCCAAGCCGUCAUAAGCCUACGAUUCAUUUAAGCCCAACCCAAACGCUAUCUUAGCCCCAUGACCUAUUUAACCCACGAAAGCCAGGACACAAACUGGGAUUAGAUACCCCACUAUGCCCGGCCCUAAAUCUAGAUACAGAUAACCACUUACGUAUCCGCCCGAGAACUACGAGCACAAACGCUUAAAACUCUAAGGACUUGGCGGUGCCCCAAACCCACCUAGAGGAGCCUGUUCUAUAACCGAUAACCCACGAUUUACCUAACCAUUCCUUGCCAACACAGCCUACAUACCGCCGUCGCCAGCCCACCUUCAAUGAAAGAAUAACAGUGAGCCUAACAGCCCCCGCUAACAAGACAGGUCAAGGUAUAGCCCAUGGAAUGGAAGAAAUGGGCUACAUUUUCUAGAAUAGAACAGACGAAAAAGGACAUGAAACCUAGGUCCUUAGAAGAAGGAUUUAGCAGUAAAACGGGAUCAUCUAGCCCGCUUUAAGAAGGCCCUGAGGCACGUACAUACCGCCCGUCACCCUCUUCAAAAGCCACCCACCACUAAUAAAUAAUACCCCUUCAGCUAAAGACGAGGCAAGUCGUAACAAGGUAAGUGUACCGGAAGGUGCACUUAGACUAC